RNAcentral lists this ribosomal RNA (253 nucleotides) under uncultured bacterium. Its description in RNAcentral is "partial 16S ribosomal RNA". It matches the Rfam family "Bacterial small subunit ribosomal RNA", at positions 524 to 776 of the family's 1533-position model. The record is from RNAcentral.
UACGGAGGGUGCAAGCGUUAUCCGGAUUCACUGGGUUUAAAGGGUGCGUAGGUGGCUUUGUAAGUCAGUGGUGAAAUCUCGGAGCUUAACUCCGAAACUGCCAUUGAUACUGCUUAGCUUGAAUCAGGUAGAGGUGGAUGGAAUAUUACAUGUAGCGGUGAAAUGCUUAGAUAUGUAAUAGAACACCGAUUGCGAAGGCAGUUCACUAUGCCUGCAUUGACACUGCGGCCCUAAAGCGUGGGGUUCAAACAGG